Molecule: ribosomal RNA, 483 nt
Filed under: uncultured bacterium
Lineage: Bacteria
Description: bacterial SSU rRNA
Rfam family: Bacterial small subunit ribosomal RNA
Source: RNAcentral
AACGAACGCUGGCGGCAGGCUUAACACAUGCAAGUCGAACGCCCCGCAAGGGGAGUGGCGCACGGGUGAGUAACGCGUGGGAAUAUGCCCUUCGGUUCGGAAUAACACAGGGAAACUUGUGCUAAUACCGGAUACGAUCUACGGAUGAAAGAUUCAUCGCCGAAGGAGUAGCCCGCGUAGGAUUAGCUAGUUGGUGAGGUAAUGGCUCACCAAGGCGACGAUCCUUAGCUGGUCUGAGAGGAUGAUCAGCCACACUGGAACUGAGACACGGUCCAGACUCCUACGGGAGGCAGCAGUCGAGAGGCUUCGGCAAUGGGGGGAAACCCUGACCGAGCGACGCCGCGUGGGCGAUGAAGCCCUUCGGGGUGUAAAGCUCUUUUGUGAGGGAAGAACUGCAACGGCCUAAUACGCUGUUGUUUGACGGUACCUUACGAAUAAGCUCCGGCUAACUCCGUGCCAGCAGCCGCGGUAAGGUGACGCUCU